This 360-nucleotide RNase P RNA is filed under the name Williamwhitmania taraxaci. RNAcentral describes it as "Bacterial RNase P class A". It matches the Rfam family "Bacterial RNase P class A". From Rfam's summary of the family: Ribonuclease P (RNase P) is a ubiquitous endoribonuclease, found in archaea, bacteria and eukarya as well as chloroplasts and mitochondria. Its best characterised activity is the generation of mature 5'-ends of tRNAs by cleaving the 5'-leader elements of precursor-tRNAs. Lineage: Bacteria; Pseudomonadati; Bacteroidota; Bacteroidia; Bacteroidales; Williamwhitmaniaceae. The record is from Rfam by way of RNAcentral.
CCAGAGAGCAACUCUACCGCUAUUUGAAAAAAUAGAGGAAAGUCCGGGCAACUUAGAGCGCCAUGCUUCCUAACGGGAAGAGGUUCGUGAGGGCCUAGUAAUGUAACAGAAAAUAACCGCCGCGGUCUUGUACCAGGUAAGGGUGAAAAGGUGAGGUAAGAGCUCACCGGUUCUUAUGGCAACAUAGGAAGCCGUACGUCUGAUGGGUUGUAAGGCCAUGUAUACCGGCAGCUGAGGACUGCUCGUCCAAUGCCGGGGGGUAGGCCGCUAGACUGUCGAGGUGACUCGAUGGCGAGAUAAAUGGUAGGGACUCCGAUUUUUUCGGAUGACAGGACCCGGCUUAUAUGCUCCUCUGGUCUU